This is a long non-coding RNA of Anser cygnoides (Swan goose), 1627 nucleotides long. NCBI's taxonomy places the organism in Eukaryota, Metazoa, Chordata, Aves, Anseriformes, Anatidae. The record is from Ensembl.
GGAGAAACCGAAGCUGCUUCAUCAGUGCCAUUUCCAUACUGUGUUUGAUCUCAGGAAAAGGUCUGCAUUGAUGAAUUAGUGCAACAACACUACCAGCCGUAAAAGAAUACAUCUAAUGAGAAAAUCCAACGGUGACUUCUAGGCUGGAUUGGUCAUCCCUCACCCACAGUGCACUCUCAGUAUUGAAAGAGUCAUUUGCAACGUCUCAGCUUGCUGUUGUGUAUUCCUGGUACCUGACCUUCUCAGUCUGGCUGUUGUGCAUCUGCUAGCCUGUGACCUUCCCACUGCAUGGAUCAGAUAUUGAGAAGGCAGGGGAGAAGGAAGAGCAGAGGAAGGCAGGUACACGUGCAGAAACUGACAGCAACAGAUGACCUCAGCCUACAACAUGGGCAGUGGAAGGUCAUCCCUGCACCUCCCUGCAGAGCUGACGGAGACCCACCUUUUGUGCUGCCCCCACGAGAGCUUACACCCAGCCUGGAAGUGACAGGUUACCAUGCCUGCCAUGCCGCUGCUUCAGUCGCACAGAUAAAAUAUGCUCUUCUCAGACACGGAAGCUAUUACUUCUCUGCGAUGAAACAGCAUCCCACACUCUUAUUAACCUGUGACCUACUUCAGAAGCAAAUUUAAUUUGCAGCUUUCAUAGUUAGCUAGCGCUAGCAUUGGUUUGUUCCUGUGCCUGCUCUGAGUUCGCUGGAUCUGUACAGUCCCAAGUAUGGCUGAGCCCUAUUUACUGUGGCCUAUAAGCAUUAUUCCUCAGAAAAAGAAAAAAAAAAAGGAAAAAAAAAGAAAAAAAAAAGAAAAAAAAAGAAUAAGGUAUUGGGGUGGUUGAAGCUUUUUGUUUCAUUGGAGAAAAGUCAAGGCACAAAUGUUAAAAAUGUCCCUGCAAAAAUGACUUCUGUAUCAGCAGAGAGUGAUGUUCUGUCUGCUAAAUGAAGUUUGUCAUCUGGGAUAUUCCUACAGAUCUGGUCACCUUACACAGAGCAUCUCAAGAACCACACUGUAUGGGAGAGAAAAGAGAGUUUCAAAGGAUUCACUGGAUUUCUGAUGGCAAGCAUCACACAAAAAAGGGUAUGGUUUCACAAAUACACCAAGGAAUAGGGAAAGGGAAGUAAGAGUCUUCAGUGACGGCCACCACAAAAGCAGCACAUACAGUAAUUUAUGUGGUAGAUUUACACGUAGAUCAUUACCUAACAAGCAACACAAAAAGCAAAGGACAACCAUUUUUUUAACCAAUGUUUAAUAUUUUAAUUUAUAGUUCACACAGUAUGUUGACUUCUUUUAAGGAAAUGAAUGUAACCACUAAAAACACGAAGAUAUGUGGAGCGCGAGUAGCUUUUCACUGUCUUAUUGUGGGGGAAAAAAAAGGAUAAGACUAUGCAAUUUCAGUUCCUCUGGGGAUUCAGCUCUGUCGCUGCCCAAUUGCAAGACUCCUGUUCACAUCGGUUAUUUUGGUAACCCCUUGUACUUGCAUGGCUGGUGACUUGCAGCUUGGUGGAAGUCAGUUUGUGAACAGAUUAAUAUCUGGAUUGCUGCAGUAACACUUUUCAGCUUGCCACGUGAAGAUGACAUAAGCACUACACACACUUCUUUGCCUGCCUAGGAUGUUUCGGUGACGUGGUAGUCUUCU